GUAGGGUGCGAGCGUUGUCCGGAAUUACUGGGCGUAAAGAGCUUGUAGGCGGUCUGUCGCGUCGAUUGUGAAAAUUCACAGCUCAACUGUGAACCUGCAGUCGAUACGGGCAGACUAGAGUACUUCAGGGGAGACUGGAAUUCCUGGUGUAGCGGUGAAAUGCGCAGAUAUCAGGAGGAACACCGGUGGCGAAGGCGGGUCUCUGGGAAGUAACUGACGCUGAGAAGCGAAAGCGUGGGUAGCGAACAGGAUUAGAUACCCUGGUAGUCCACGCCGUAAACGGUGGGUACUAGGUGUGGGUUUCCUUCCACGGGAUCCGUGCCGUAGCUAACGCAUUAAGUACCCCGCCUGGGGAGUACGGCCGCGAGGCUA
This 372-nucleotide ribosomal RNA is filed under the name uncultured bacterium. RNAcentral describes it as "bacterial SSU rRNA". It matches the Rfam family "Bacterial small subunit ribosomal RNA", at positions 527 to 896 of the family's 1533-position model. The record is from RNAcentral.